This 852-nucleotide long non-coding RNA is filed under the name Taeniopygia guttata (zebra finch). Its description in RNAcentral is "lncRNA (ENSTGUG00000025463.1)". Lineage: Eukaryota; Metazoa; Chordata; Aves; Passeriformes; Estrildidae. The record is from RNAcentral.
AUGCACUGUGCGGGAAUGGCGGGUCUCUUCUCUUCCCGAAGUGCAGAGCAGGCAGGCGCUGGCAGCGGGCUGUUUUCGGGACUGCUGACUCACCGGGGCUGUGUGGCGCACAGCCUCGGCCCUGAGCCCGCGGGACGGGUUAAACUGGCGCCACAUGAAGGAACUGAAAGGCAACUGAAUAAGGCUGGCCCGGUCUGCAGUCCAAAUGCAAGGCCCCAUUGGGAUGUGUCAGGAGAGACUGAGAGAUUCCCUGUUCAAGCCAAGGGGUUGCACUGGUGCCUAUCCCUCCUUCAGAGAAGUCUCUUAUGCAAAGAACAGUUUGUCAGGUUCCUACCAAGGUAUCCAGUUUUUCCAGUGGUCAAAGACCUGAAGUCAGCACUGUCUUCUCUCAGAUGCCUCGUGGAUGCUGUGAUGAUCUGCAGGAACUCAGAUCCAAGAUGGCUGGGCAAGGGAUUCACUGAGAACGAGCAAAUCUUGGACAGACUCUGCAAAAUGAGACUGGAAUUGGGUGUCCUACCACUACCACACAUGAGGGCUUCACUUCACUGGGGGAUAGCUGAUUCAGAGCACCAUGAGAUGGAGAAAGAAGAGAACAAAAAACUUUCUUGGCUGCAGCUAUCAGCUAAUUUUUGGUUGCUUUUGAAUGCCAAGGCCAGCAGGAUCCAGGAAUUCAUCUACUGGUGCCAGCAAGAAAGCACUGACCCAAACAAGGGAGCCAGAACUUGGACUGCAGUCCUUGCCAGGGAUCAGCAAGAGGCCAGAGAGACCAUGCUGCUGAGUCAUCACCGCUCCAGCUGCUACAAGCCUUUUCUGGGGACGCGGCUGUUGCUAAGAUUCCUGGGAGCUGACUGA